AUAACUGGACUUGUGGCAGCACCAGCGUUCAUAGCGACGUUGCUUUUUGAUCCUUCGAUGUCGGCUCUUCCUAGUCAUACCGAAGCAGGAUUCGGUAAGCGUUGGAUUGUUCACCAGCACUGGUUAUCAGGGAACGUGAGCCUGGGUUUAGCAACCGUCGUGAAGACAGGUU
Molecule: non-coding RNA, 172 nt
Filed under: Fistulina hepatica ATCC 64428
Lineage: Eukaryota; Fungi; Basidiomycota; Agaricomycetes; Agaricales; Fistulinaceae
Description: Eukaryotic large subunit ribosomal RNA
Rfam family: Eukaryotic large subunit ribosomal RNA
Source: Rfam by way of RNAcentral